AUACGUAGGUGACAAGCGUUAUCCGGAUUUACUGGGCGUAAAGGGCGUGUAGGCGGUCUUGCAAGUCAGAAGUGAAAUUCCUGAGCUCAACUCGGGCGCUGCUUCUGAAACUGCAGGACUUGAGUGCUGGAGGGGAUAGCGGAAUUCCUAGUGGAGCGGUAAAAUGCGCAGAUAUUAGGAAGAACACCGGUGGCGAAGGCGGCUAUCUGGACAGUAACGGACGCGGAGGCGCGAAAGCGUGGGGAGCAAACAGGAUUAGAUACCCUGGUAGUCCACGCUGUAAACGAUGAUUCCUAGGUGUGGGGGGACUGACCCCUUCCGUGCCGCAGUUAACACAAUAAGUAAUCCACCUGGGGAGUACGGCCGCAAGGUUGAAACUCAAAUGAAUUGACGGGG
RNAcentral lists this ribosomal RNA (396 nucleotides) under uncultured bacterium. RNAcentral's name for it is "partial 16S ribosomal RNA". It matches the Rfam family "Bacterial small subunit ribosomal RNA", at positions 523 to 918 of the family's 1533-position model. The record is from RNAcentral.